GACGAACGCUGGCGGCGUGCUUAACACAUGCAAGUCGAACGAAGUGGCGAACGGGUGAGUAACGCGUAAUCAACCUGCCCUUCAGAGGGGGACAACAGUUGGAAACGACUGCUAAUAACGCAUACUGACGGCGGGGAUGGCGUCUGAUUAGCUAGUUGGAGGGGUAACGGCCCACCAAGGCGAUGGUCAGUAGUCGGGCUGAGAGGAUGAACGGCGACAUUGUGAUUGAGACACGGCCCAGACUGCUACGGGAGCCAGCAGGGGGGAAACGUCCGCAAUGGACGAAAGUCUGACGGAGCAAGGCCGCGUGAGUGAUGACGGCCUUCGGGUUGUAAAGCUCUGUUAAUCGGGACGCGGUACCGGAAUAGAAAGCCACGGCUAACUACGUGCCAGCAGCCGCGGUAAUUC
Molecule: ribosomal RNA, 408 nt
Filed under: uncultured bacterium
Lineage: Bacteria
Description: partial 16S ribosomal RNA
Rfam family: Bacterial small subunit ribosomal RNA
Source: RNAcentral